This 240-nucleotide ribosomal RNA is filed under the name uncultured Glomus. Its description in RNAcentral is "partial 18S ribosomal RNA". The stretch from base 46 to 240 matches the Rfam family "Eukaryotic small subunit ribosomal RNA", at positions 693 to 884 of the family's 1831-position model. The record is from RNAcentral. Lineage: Eukaryota; Fungi; Glomeromycota; Glomeromycetes; Glomerales; Glomeraceae.
GGAUCAAUAUGUCGGUCGUGCCUCGGUACGUACUGGCAUCAUUGGUUUCUCCCUUCUGAUGAACCAUGAUGCCAUUAAUUUGGUGUCGUGGGGAAUCAGGACUGUUACUUUGAAAAAAUUAGAGUGUUUAAAGCAGGCAAUAUUUCCGCUUGAAUAGGCUAGCAUGGAAUAAUAAAAUAGGACUUUUGGUUCUAUUUUGUUGGUUUCUAGGACCAGAGUAAUGAUUAAUAGGGAUAGUUG